This 425-nucleotide ribosomal RNA is filed under the name uncultured bacterium. RNAcentral describes it as "partial 16S ribosomal RNA". It matches the Rfam family "Bacterial small subunit ribosomal RNA", at positions 354 to 796 of the family's 1533-position model. The record is from RNAcentral.
GUGGGGAAUCUUAGACAAUGGGGGAAACCCUGAUCUAGCCAUGCCGCGUGAGCGAUGAAGGCCUUAGGGUUGUAAAGCUCUUUCAGCUGGGAAGAUAAUGACUGUACCAGCAGAAGAAGCCCCGGCUAACUCCGUGCCAGCAGCCGCGGUAAUACGGAGGGGGCUAGCGUUGUUCGGAAUUACUGGGCGUAAAGCGCACGUAGGCGGACCGGAAAGUCAGAGGUGAAAUCCCAGGGCUCAACCUUGGAACUGCCUUUGAAACUCCUGGUCUUGAGGUCGAGAGAGGUGAGUGGAAUUCCGAGUGUAGAGGUGAAAUUCGUAGAUAUUCGGAGGAACACCAGUGGCGAAGGCGGCUCACUGGCUCGAUACUGACGCUGAGGCGCGAAAGCCAGGGGAGCGAACGGGAUUAGAAACCCUUGUAGUCC